CGGGGAGGGACUCGCCCCCCGUGCCUGUGUUUACAGACUGCUGGUUUCCCCGGGCUCUGACCUGCCUCGUCCAGAAAGCCCAGCAAGAGCGUUGAACUCCUGCUUUCUGCAGGUUCUGCUGGGAGCGGCUCCUCUGGGGUGUGAAGCGGGCAGAGGAGGAUGAGGAGGGAGCCGUGAGCAGAGCCUAGGAGGAGCCUUCCGGGGGCUUCCAGAAGCUGGGGACGGCUGAGACCUGGGUUUGAGGAAGAGCCAGAAGGUCUGAGUGGCUAGAUACGGGGUGGGGGUGGGGGUGGGGCAAAGGGUGCAGAGCUGGUGGGGAGAUGAAGAGAGGGGGCCAAGGGGAGACCCCGUAGGGCCAGGGGGCCUUGGGGAGCACUGAGCCUUUAUCCCGAGUGACUGGAGGCCAUUAGGGCCACCAGUGGGUCCCCACGGAGAGCCCUCCCCAGGGAGAAACAUGGAAAACAACCACGGCCAACCGAGUGGGUGCAGCCCGCACGCAGGUGCCCCCCCAUAACCGAUGCACUGCGUUGACUCCAGAGGCAGACGUCCUCACCCAGAGCUCUCCCGGGGGAGCAGCCGUGGCCCGUCCACGCGCACAAACCAGGAGCCCUCGGCGCCCUGCCCCUGCCCCUGCCUGCCUCCAGCAGCUCGGUCACCUCCUGGACGGGUUCAGAUCCAGCACGCUCUCCACCCUGUUUGCCACACCCGAGGCUGAGCCCCCCCACCUCCAGCUUGGUCUCCUGGUCCCACCGUCAGCACUCUUCUUCCUGAAACACGUGCCUGAUGGUGUCGGCUCCCAGCGCCUCCCCUCGGGAUAAACCCCCAGAUCCUCCACAGACUUAUAACACAUCAUCCAAACCCAGACUUGACUCUUAAAUGUUAAAGGAGGAGCCGUUAAUGAUGUUGGGAUAACAGGUGUAACUGGGUCGCCCUCAGCCACUCGGGACAUGUGGUCCCCCUUCUGCUUGGCUCUGUGUAAGGCUUGGGGGACUGGCCACUGCCCACCUCUCCAGCCCCACUGCACAUCCUGCCCCACCCUGUUUUCUGAGCUCUUCUCUUCCUGCACGCUUUAGGUUCCUUCCUACCCCAGGGCCUUUGCCCAUGCUGUUCCCUAUGUCUGAAGUGCUCUUCCUCCCUCUUCCCGUCCUCUCUUCCUAGUUAAUGCCUGUCCAUCCUGAUGAAUAAAUGAAAAGCAAUAAGAUAUUGAAGUAUGAGGAAGCCAUUUGGUUUACAACUAAUUCUGCCCAAGCUUGUU
RNAcentral lists this long non-coding RNA (1255 nucleotides) under Equus caballus (horse). Its description in RNAcentral is "lncRNA (ENSECAG00000044004.1)". The record is from RNAcentral. Lineage: Eukaryota; Metazoa; Chordata; Mammalia; Perissodactyla; Equidae.